ACUCAAAGGAAUUGACGGGGACCCGCACAAGCGGUGGAGCAUGUGGUUUAAUUCGAUGGUAAGCGGAGCACCUCACCAAGGUUUGACAUCUCAGUGAAAGGCACCAGAAAUGGAGCCCCUCUUCGGACACUGAAGACAGGUGCUGCACGGUUGUCGUCAGCUCGUGUUGUGAAAUGUACCGUUAAGUCGGAUAACGAGCGCAACCCCUAUUGCCAGUUACAUGUGUCUGGCGAGACUGCCGUGGUUAACACGGAGGAAGGUGGGGAUGACGUCAAAUCAGCGUGGCCUUUAUACCUUGGGCGACACACGUGCUACAAUGGGUAGGUAACAAUGGGUUGCCAAAGCGUAAGCUGGAGCUAAUCCCAACAAAACUACCCUCAGUUCGGAUUGAGGGCUGCAACUCGCCCUCAUGAAGCCGGAAUCGCUAGUAACGGCAGAUCAGCUAUGCUGCCGUGAAUACGUUCUCGGGUCUUGUACACACCGCCCGU
This 488-nucleotide ribosomal RNA is filed under the name uncultured bacterium. RNAcentral's name for it is "partial 16S ribosomal RNA". It matches the Rfam family "Bacterial small subunit ribosomal RNA", at positions 899 to 1397 of the family's 1533-position model. The record is from RNAcentral.